RNAcentral lists this long non-coding RNA (336 nucleotides) under Monodelphis domestica (gray short-tailed opossum). Its description in RNAcentral is "lncRNA (ENSMODG00000038050.1)". Lineage: Eukaryota; Metazoa; Chordata; Mammalia; Didelphimorphia; Didelphidae. The record is from RNAcentral.
AGUCCCGUCGCCCAGGAAACAGCAUCUUGGCAAUGAGUUGGAGAAGGAAAUGACAAAUGACUCCAGCAUCUUUGCCAAGAAAACUCCAAAGGGUCACAAAGAAUCUGAUGCUACUGAAAACGACUAAGCAACAACAAACAACUGAUUGGAUGAGGAAACUGAAGUUUGGAGAUGUUAAGUGACUUAUCUGAGCUCCUUUGGGCACUGAGCGACCAGCCUAUACUUUUAUUCCACCUCCUUUGAUUCUUCUACCACUCCAUGCUGCCUCCUUGGUAAGGAAAGACCUAAGAAGUCCUUUUUACUAAUCUGAAAUAAAUUGUCUCCCAUAUUGAGGCA